UGGGGAAUUUUGGACAAUGGGCGAAAGCCUGAUCCAGCAAUGCCGCGUGUGUGAAGAAGGCCUUCGGGUUGUAAAGCACUUUUGUCCGGAAAGAAAUCCUUGGCUCUAAUACAGUCGGGGGAUGACGGUACCGGAAGAAUAAGCACCGGCUAACUACGUGCCAGCAGCCGCGGUAAUACGUAGGGUGCAAGCGUUAAUCGGAAUUACUGGGCGUAAAGCGUGCGCAGGCGGUUUGCUAAGACCGAUGUGAAAUCCCCGGGCUCAACCUGGGAACUGCAUUGGUGACUGGCAGGCUAGAGUAUGGCAGAGGGGGGUAGAAUUCCACGUGUAGCAGUGAAAUGCGUAGAGAUGUGGAGGAAUACCGAUGGCGAAGGCAGCCCCCUGGGCCAAUACUGACGCUCAUGCACGAAAGCGUGGGGAGCAAACAGGAUUAGAUACCCUGGUAGUCCACGCCCUAAAACGAUGUCAACUAGCUGUUGGGGUUUUAUUAACCUUAGUAGCGCAGCUAACGCGUGAAGUUGACCGCCUGGGGAGUACGGUCGCAAGAUU
RNAcentral lists this ribosomal RNA (549 nucleotides) under uncultured bacterium. Its description in RNAcentral is "partial 16S ribosomal RNA". It matches the Rfam family "Bacterial small subunit ribosomal RNA", at positions 355 to 895 of the family's 1533-position model. The record is from RNAcentral.